This 305-nucleotide ribosomal RNA is filed under the name uncultured bacterium. RNAcentral's name for it is "bacterial SSU rRNA". It matches the Rfam family "Bacterial small subunit ribosomal RNA", at positions 335 to 656 of the family's 1533-position model. The record is from RNAcentral.
UCACCUACGGGACGCAGCAGUAGGGAAUCUUCCACAAUGGACGAAAGUCUGAUGGAGCAACGCCGCGUGAGUGAAGAAGGGUUUCGGAUUGUAAAGCUCUGUUAGCAGGGAAGAGGAAGGACGGUACCUGCAGAGGAAGCCACGGCUAACUACGUGCCAGCAGCCGCGGUAAUACGUAGGUGGCAAGCGUUGUUCGGAAUAACUGGGCGUAAAGGAUGCGUAGGCGGUUAAACAAGUUAUAUGUUAAAUAUAUAGGCUUAACCUGUAGAAAGCAUAUAAAAAUGUUUAACUAGAGUGCAGGAGAG